This is a long non-coding RNA of Rhododendron vialii, 980 nucleotides long. RefSeq lists it as uncharacterized. The record is from RefSeq and is a predicted model, not a curated record. NCBI's taxonomy places the organism in Eukaryota, Viridiplantae, Streptophyta, Magnoliopsida, Ericales, Ericaceae. The transcript has 2 exons.
UGCAAAAAAACUGUUUGCGUCUCUUGUUCUCUCUCCCUCAGAACACACACGCACAUACAUAGGGAAGAAAGAGAUCAACAUGAUUAGAGAGAGAGAAAGAGAAAGACGGAGAGGAAGAGGAAGAGAUGUGAGACCAGAGGCAGAUUUGACGGGCCAUAGAACGAGAUGUAUACGUUCGUAUGAAGGAGCCUUCGACAUUGGUACAAUUUCUUCAGAAACUUCUUCCUCGGGUCAAUCUCUCCCUCUCUCAUGCUUCGCUGAUGGCAACUGUAGCAGGGUUCUUGAUUCUGAUUGUCGUUCAAAGGCGGCGUGUCGUGGCUGCCCAUCCAUCUUCGUGUAGUUAGUUUACAAAACUUUUCAGCCUAGGGUUUCGGGUUUCCUUAUUCCUUGAGUUUUGAUGAAAAAAAGUAUGUUUAUAUGACCAUUAGUUACAUUUUCAGGUAAAAUAGAGUUUAGUUUUUUGCUAUGUUUGAGCUAAUUUUCAGUGUUACGUUGAAUUUGUAGGGUUAUUUCUUUGUUCGUUUUGAGAUUGGGAGAGACUAUAUCAUCUCUUUCAGUGUUGGUAGUUGCUGGUACUUAGAGGAUAUAUUGGACCAUAAUUUGCUUGGUUCAAUGGUCGAAUUCUUUAAUUCAUCAUUUUGUAUUGUAUUGUAUAGCUCUUGCCACAGGGAUUCAGGCGUUUUUUACAAGGUGCUAGCAGAACAACCUGGAUAGUGCCAAGGCAUGGAUCAAAAUCUUGGCCAAUUCGCAUUGAUAAUGGAGUACGGUUGGAGUGUAUUUUGUGCAGCUCGAUCAUCAACUGAGAAAUGGUUACAAACUUAUUUUAUCGUGUGAGCGUAAGUGGAUUUUCAAUACUGUAAUCUUGAAUGAAGAUCAUAUUGAGAUGAAAUAUGAUUGAUCAGAAGAACACGAUCCAUACUGGCAAAUACUGCAUCCUUCUCCUUUGGAAUUAUUCAGUACUUGUAAAUCCUUUUGUGCAC